ACUCAGGCACUUCAGGAUCACAGCAAGGAAAAUUCGCCAUUUGCGCUGCCGGGCUGAGUUCCUUUGAAUUCCAGUAAGUGAGUGAGCAGCUCCAUUCGGAGGAGUUUCCUUGGUCUUCCGAGGGGCAGGACCUGGUUUUCCCUGGCACAUCUUCCCGCUGCUCACUCCUUAAGUAGUUUCACUUACUUUUUAACUGUUACAUGCCAACAAAACAGGUUGCUUAAUUGGUUUGACCUUUCACAGUAUUUUUUAAUUUUUCAAUCUUAGUUUCGUGGUUCCAUCUGGCCCUUUAAAACGACAUCUGGUUAACUGUACUUAACCAGCUGAUCACUGUACAGUUAUUUUUAAAUGUAAUGUAUGCUUAAACAGAUGUUAUUUUUAUAGAUGUGGAUCUAAACUGCACUUGGGUACGUGCUAUGUCUGCAUAAACUCUUUCUGCAAUUCAAAUGUUGACACCCAAAAUUACAAGCCAGAAUGCUUAUGAACUCUACUAUUAUGGUACUGCACUUUGGUGCCGCUUGUUAGGUAAACAUCAAUUCAGUUCUUUUUUUCUCUCUUCAUUGCACAUAAAUAAAACAUUAGCAUUUAGUUUAUAAAGUGAUGAACAUUUUGCUGUGUUGGAUUUAGCUUUAUAAAUACAACUGCUGUCAGCAAGAAAAAAGGAUUUAUUGAAUAAAUAAUAAGAAAGCUAAGGGAAAAUGAAAAUAUAUAUAUUAUGCAAAACAUGGUGUCUGUCAACAGGUCACAAAGGGGCCUCGAUGCUUUUGGUGUUGCUGUCAGAGAUAAUUCCAUCUCUGGCACACUGUGUCUAUAGCGUUCUGGACCUUCCUCUCACGACUUCUUCAACAAUCACAAAAAUGUGAGGAAAAGCAUCAUCAAAGCAUUUUCUCCUGAGAAAGGCAUUUGUUAUCUUAAUGACAAGAGUUCCUGCAUGUUUGGGCAUGAAACAAUUACUUCCCACAAAGAGGAUGCCCACCCAGCUGGAAGGAAGCUGAAAGAGCAGAAGAAUUUUUGCCUUGAGGGGCGCCAAGAGAGGCUUCGAGUUCUUCUUCCCCAGUGGUUUGAUGAAAUCAAGCAUUUGCACCUUUGAAAAUUGGUUUAACCAACGUGGCCUGAAUAAAUGUCAUCCCCUUUCCUCCUGGCCGGAAGUC
This 1151-nucleotide long non-coding RNA is filed under the name Felis catus (domestic cat). Its description in RNAcentral is "lncRNA (ENSFCAG00000050367.1)". The record is from RNAcentral. Lineage: Eukaryota; Metazoa; Chordata; Mammalia; Carnivora; Felidae.